UAGGGAAUCUUCGGCAAUGGACGAAAGUCUGACCGAGCAACGCCGCGUGAGUGAAGAAGGUUUUCGGAUCGUAAAACUCUGUUGUUAGAGAAGAACAAGGACGUUAGUAACUGAACGUCCCCUGACGGUAUCUAACCAGAAAGCCACGGCUAACUACGUGCCAGCAGCCGCGGUAAUACGUAGGUGGCAAGCGUUGUCCGGAUUUGUUGGGCGUAAAGCGAGCGCAGGCGGUUUCUUAAGUCUGAUGUGAAAGCCCCCGGCUCGACCGGGGAGGGUCAUUGGAAACUGGGAGACUUGAGUGCAGAAGAGGAGAGUGGAAUUCCAUGUGUAGCGGUGAAAUGCGUAGAUAUAUGGAGGAACACCAGUGGCGAAGGCGGCUCUCUGGUCUGUAACUGACGCUGAGGCUCGAAAGCGUGGGGAGCAAACAGG
This 429-nucleotide ribosomal RNA is filed under the name Gemmatimonadota bacterium. Its description in RNAcentral is "Gemmatimonadetes bacterium partial 16S ribosomal RNA". It matches the Rfam family "Bacterial small subunit ribosomal RNA", at positions 355 to 776 of the family's 1533-position model. Lineage: Bacteria; Pseudomonadati; Gemmatimonadota. The record is from RNAcentral.